Molecule: ribosomal RNA, 407 nt
Filed under: uncultured microorganism
Description: bacterial SSU rRNA
Rfam family: Archaeal small subunit ribosomal RNA
Source: RNAcentral
GUGCACCAGGCGCGAAACUUUACAAUGUGCGAAAGCACGAUAAGGGAACUCUGAGUGCCUCCUAAGGAGGCUGUUCAGGUGUCUAAAAGCACCUGAAGGAAGGGCUGGGUAAGACCGGUGCCAGCCGCCGCGGUAACACCGGCAGCCCAAGUGGUAGCCACGUUUAUUGGGUCUAAAGCGUCCGUAGCCGGCUGGGUAAGUUCCUUGGGAAAUUUGGCUGCUUAACAGUCAAGCUUUCAGGGAAUACUGCCCGGCUUGGGACCGGGAGAGGUCAGAGGUACUCCAGGGGUAGGGUGAAAUCCAUUAAUCCUUGGGGGACCACCGGUAGCGAAGGCGUCUGACCAGACCGGGUCCGACGGUGAGGGACGAAGGCUAGGGGCGCGAACCGGAUUAGAUACCCGCGUAGU